This 373-nucleotide ribosomal RNA is filed under the name uncultured organism. Its description in RNAcentral is "partial 16S ribosomal RNA". It matches the Rfam family "Bacterial small subunit ribosomal RNA", at positions 527 to 896 of the family's 1533-position model. The record is from RNAcentral.
GUAGGUGGCAAGCGUUGUCCGGAAUUAUUGGGCGUAAAGCGCGCGCAGGUGGUUCUUUAAGUCUGAUGUGAAAGCCCCCGGCUCAACCGGGGAGGGUCAUUGGAAACUGGGGAACUUGAGUGCAGGAGAGGAAAGUGGAAUUCCACGUGUAGCGGUGAGAUGCGUAGAUAUGCGGAGGAACACCAGUGGCGAAGGCGACUUUCUGGCCUGUAACUGACACUGAGGCGCGAAAGCGUGGGGAGCAAACAGGGAUUAGAUACCCUGGUAGUCCACGCCGUAAACGAUGAGUGCUAAGCGUUGGGGGGGUUUCCCGCCCCUCAGUGCUGCAGCUAACGCAUUAAGCACUCCGCCUGGGGAUACGGUCGCAAGACUG